RNAcentral lists this ribosomal RNA (673 nucleotides) under uncultured Pseudomonadota bacterium. Its description in RNAcentral is "bacterial SSU rRNA". It matches the Rfam family "Bacterial small subunit ribosomal RNA", at positions 62 to 724 of the family's 1533-position model. Lineage: Bacteria; Pseudomonadati; Pseudomonadota. The record is from RNAcentral.
UCGAAUGGUAACAGGAAACAGCUUGCUGUUUCGCUGACGAGUGGCGGACGGGUGAGUAAUGUCUGGGAAACUGCCUGAUGGAGGGGGAUAACUACUGGAAACGGUAGCUAAUACCGCAUAACGUCGCAAGACCAAAGAGGGGGACCUUCGGGCCUCUUGCCAUCAGAUGUGCCCAGAUGGGAUUAGCUAGUAGGUGGGGUAACGGCUCACCUAGGCGACGAUCCCUAGCUGGUCUGAGAGGAUGACCAGCCACACUGGAACUGAGACACGGUCCAGACUCCUACGGGAGGCAGCAGUGGGGAAUAUUGCACAAUGGGCGCAAGCCUGAUGCAGCCAUGCCGCGUGUAUGAAGAAGGCCUUCGGGUUGUAAAGUACUUUCAGCGGGGAGGAAGGGAGUAAAGUUAAUACCUUUGCUCAUUGACGUUACCCGCAGAAGAAGCACCGGCUAACUCCGUGCCAGCAGCCGCGGUAAUACGGAGGGUGCAAGCGUUAAUCGGAAUUACUGGGCGUAAAGCGCACGCAGGCGGUUUGUUAAGUCAGAUGUGAAAUCCCCGGGCUCAACCUGGGAACUGCAUCUGAUACUGGCAAGCUUGAGUCUCGUAGAGGGGGGUAGAAUUCCAGGUGUAGCGGUGAAAUGCGUAGAGAUCUGGAGGAAUACCGGUGGCGAAGGCGG